This is an RNA transcript of Triticum aestivum (bread wheat), 3945 nucleotides long. It is a transcript of the gene named nucleolar protein 58, with no coding region annotated. The record is from RefSeq and is a predicted model, not a curated record. The transcript has 12 exons. Lineage: Eukaryota; Viridiplantae; Streptophyta; Magnoliopsida; Poales; Poaceae.
AAAAGAAUGACGUGCCUUUCCUUCAAUUCUGCGUAACAAAAGCAAGAAACCCUAGACGGACGAGGGGUAAAAGGAAAAAUUAAAGCAGCCGCCUUAUCUCCUCGCUCGCUCCCUCCUCUCUCCCACGCCGCCCCAUCCCUCUCCCUGCUCGUCCCCUCAUCUCCUCUUUCCUCGAUGCCGGAUCCCCUGCCUCUCCGACCUAGGCCAGAGCCUCGCCGGCAGCUCCCCCAAGUCGGCGCCCGCUAGCUGCUGGUGUGGAGCCGAGCUUCUCUGACGGCGACGGCGACGGCGACAAGCUUGUCCAGGUCGUCAUGGCCGGCGACGACGAACGGGAGGGCGGAGGUGUUUCCAUGGCCACCUUUGCCGAGAGCUCGCACAUCUUCAACCCUCAGCCAUGUUAGUUUUGGGGUGGCUAUUUUUUGGAUCCGCUGCUGCCGUGCGCCGUGCGUCUGGAUCAGGCGCAGGUCGCCGCCAUAGGAGAGCAGGGUGGCGUGGUCUUUGUGGUGGGCAUGGAGCAAGGGAGGAUGAGGCGCUGGUAUGAGGAAAGGAGCAGGAAGGUCGGAGUUCCAGGCGGUGCUGGCCGUCGUCACAUGUCCCCAGUCUAGAUCUAAGAAAAAAGAGAAGGGGAUGAAUCUGGAGGAAGAGCUUGGUGAAGAACAAGGUGUUCGUAAUGGCAACGGUGGUAAUCAACGAUGAGAAAAAAGGACCGAGAUUGUAUUUGUACUAGCAGGUGAUGCCUUAAUUUAGUUCAUGGCAUUAUGGCGGGACGCAUGUGGUAAAUGGUUACAAUGGUGGCUCAUGGAGUUAAAAUUUUGUGUUCUGUACAGAUUUGAGAUGAUAGAAAUUCAAAAUAGAUCAUGACCACAGCUUGCGGAGUUUCAAAAUCUAAUAUCUCUAAUUUCCGCAUCAAGCUAAGUGGUCCCGUUGUUUAGCAUGUAGGCACUUUCUAUUUGUUGCUUCAAUGUAAUGUUUAAGGUUGUUGCUUUAACAAUGUUUGAUCUAGAUUAUCAGUAAAACACACUCACAAUUAGGUGUUCUUCCUUGGUUAGCUGCUUGCAUUUCUUAUGUUUGAUUGGUUCAAGCCAGUAUGACUCUUUUUCUUUGCCUUUCACAGGGGUCCUUUGCUACUGUUGGUUGUGUCCUUGCUUCUUGGAGAGGAGGGAGGGCAAAUGACUUUGAUGCCAGAAAUAGGGGAGGAACAUAAGGUCAAGUAUCCAUGUUGUUUGGUACCUUAUAGAAGAUGCAUUACGCAAUGGUCUCGGCAACUGCAACGAGAUUUCACAGUCACGAUUUUUCCAUAUUGGUAUGGAUUCUAAAACCUUAUAGGAAAAUGCCAUCUUUCACAAAAUGAAACUAUGCCUACAGAGCUGCUGAGGGAUGCCCUGUAGUGGACUGGCUGAGACUGUCGAGCAUCAGGUUGCAAAUCUCCAGAGGUACAAGGGGCUCAUUGGUAGCCUGGCCUGCUUUUGGUAUAUCAAUGAGGACAUCCCUGACGUAAAUUCGUUUCGUGACAGUGGGUGAUUGAGAAAGGAGCCCAAGCAGAAGGCAGAACACAGAUGGAGCAGUUGACUUGUUCUUGUUCAUUUCCCUUUCCGCAACGAAUAGAAUCCAAUUAAUUAAUUUGGGUGUAUGCUGAUUGAGAUAGUUAAUCAAUUGGGUAUGUAGACCAUGGUGUUGGUAGGCUUACAGCAUGGGGUGGCCACAUCCAGCGAGGGUGGCGUUCUGUGGAUUUGGCGCCCCCCAUCCCAGCAGCACGUGGGAGCCGGUGUCUUCGGGAAGAGCUGGGUCUCCUUGCCGGCGACCUCACCAUCUUGCCAGCGACUUCACCUUCACCAGCCCAUCUACAGUUGCUUGAGCUGAAGCAUUGAGAUGGUGAAACAUUAACUAUUGCUGAUUCUAAACUUGGAAAUGCUAUAAAAGAGAAGUUGAAAAUUGGCUGCGUUCACAAUAGUGAUGUGAUGGAGCUAAUGAGAGGGCUCAUAAAUCAGCUUAGUGAGCUUAUAUCUUGGUUGGGCACACAGGACCUUGGUCCGAGGAGCUUGGGACUUUCCCACAACUUGUCUAGAUACAAGCUGAAAUUCAGUCCUAAAAAGGUGAGUCAAUACUGUGAUUAGUUCACUUGGCUGAACCAUGUUAGUACAGAGCUAAAUAUCCAUAGAAAACAUGCAAAGUUUCUGAUAGAUCUUAUUCAGAUGUUGUAAACGACGUCAACUAGAUGCUUUUUGUCGAUAUUGCAUUAUUACCAAAUAAAACAAAUAAAAUAAUGUGGCUUUGUGGUUUGAGACUGAUACUGAUACUUCAUAUUAGUUGCUAAAAAUAUGUGCUUCAGUAUUUGACUACUUGUGCGAGGGUGCACAUGUAAGCCGUGAUGGGUUUCUAGAGUAGGUUAUGUCUCCAUUAUGAAAUUUUCCAUACCAUGCAAUAACCUGCUAAAAAUGGAUAUUCUCAAAUAGUACUAAGAAAAUAGUAUUGUUUCUAUUUAUUUUAAUAUGAGCGCCUCUAUUUAGAGGAUUCUAUGUCUAAUUAUUCAAAGUUCUAAUAUAUGAAGAUAUAUGCUCAUCUUUAUUUUGUUUGAUGCAUUUCUCAUUGAGAAACUGGAAUAUGAAACUAUUAUUAUCUAUCAGGUGAGGAAUUCAUGGGCUUGUAACAUGGAAAAAUAAUUGUAAGUGUAGUUUCAGGUAAGAACAUGCCGAAUAUAACAGCCGAAGAAGGAAGGGACAUGAGGCUGUAAUGUCUUUUUUAUUCCCAUUCCUUUCAGGAAGUCACAGCUAGGAGUGGUGGGUGGACAUAUAACUGUCUGUUAGCCCUUUUAUGUGUUUCUGAAUGAAGUGGGAACUAAUGCUAGAUUCUUUUCCUGAUACAUAAUUAAUAUGUACACUUACCACACUAUCGUGAUCACAAAUGUUUACAACUGUCUGAAUCGUGUGAUUGCAAAGUAGAACCCACAUGAUUGAUACUGACGAUGUAAUGUGUUAUCAGCAGUAUAUCUCAAUUUUGAAUGUGACAUGUACUGUAUGUAUAUGCAAAAAUUGAGCUUUUUGUCAACCUCUAUGUUGCCUGAGUUUCCAACUUUUUUGCUUGCUCCGAUCCUUCAUUGUGCUUGUUAGCAAUACUACACUUUGUUAUUUUCACAAGGAGUGUAGUUCCAUGAAACGUGAAAUUUUAUUAUGUUAGGUGUACAUUUUACCUAUGGCACUAACCUCUUUUAUUUGUCUAUGUAAUGACCAUAUGCAUAAAUAGUCGAAAAUGGUGUUUGAAUACUUCAUUUUUAGUUGAUUCUUACUAUGCACCUGAAUGGUUUCUAAAAUUUGAAAUUAUUAAAGAAACACAAUUUGUUUCAAAACACAUUGGAUUUGAAUUUGGACCUUGCGCCACUUGGCUCUAGCUAUGUUACAUGAAUAAGAUAACAAAAUAUGCAUGCUCAAGUAUACAUUUUCAAAGAUCCUUCAUUUUUCAUCUUAAAGGGUUUGAAGUAGUACCCUAAGUGGUUGCUAAAACCUACUUCUACUAAUGAAGUCAAAUUAUUUCAAAACACUUCGGGUUUGACAUGGUCUUUGGGCUUGCUCACACAUGAAGUUAUUGAAAAAAUGAGAUUUCCUUGAUAUAUGGUUCUACAAGUGUGUCAUAUGGACCAAUGAAAGCAAAGAUAUUCCGGAGAUAAUAACUAUAUGGGCUACUCCAAAUGGUCUGAGAGUGGAACCAACACCUUUUAUAGGCCUUCAAGUACCUGUGUGGAAGUCUACCAUGCAAGCAUUAUCCGACGACUGGCACUCUGCUUUUUCGUACAUAUCCUCUGAAGACCAUGAUCAGACUAAGAAGAUGCCUAAAUAUGCUGUGAGGCUGCCUAUAUAUAAGUGUAUUUCUGUAAAUUGAUAUCAGUCAUUCUACUAUCUGUAAACCAAUUUAAGUCAUUCUACUAUCUGCAAUACAAUCCCCAUUACAUUA